Molecule: ribosomal RNA, 221 nt
Filed under: uncultured Glomus
Lineage: Eukaryota; Fungi; Glomeromycota; Glomeromycetes; Glomerales; Glomeraceae
Description: partial 28S large subunit ribosomal RNA
Rfam family: Eukaryotic large subunit ribosomal RNA
Source: RNAcentral
GAAGAAACGUUUUCUGCAUCCAGGAUUAGCCUAAAUCCUUUGGGAUAAGGUAUCAUGGAGGGUGAGAAUCCCGUUCAUGGUUAAUCUUAAGGAAGCUCUACGAUACAUUUUCCAAGAGUCGAGUUGUUUGGGAUUGCAGCUCAAAAUGGGAGGUAAAUUUCUCCUAAGGCUAAAUAUUGGCGAGAGACCGAUAGCGAACAAGUACCGUGAGGGAAAGAUGA